CACUGUUGUACCGCCUGAAAUCCAAAGUCGACACCGCGGAUUCAUGAACUUGGACUAUCUCAUUCUGACCAGCGGUAUCCCCUCCGUCGCCACAGUCCCCACAUUUGCACGACCUAUCGCUACAGCCAGCCAAUCCCACUGGUGUGGUGUAAGCACUUUGAGGCAGCAAGAAAAGGUGAUUCCCGAGUGAUCACAGCAAUGGACACAGUUCACACCGCUAGCAAACGAAGAAAAUAGAAAGGUCCAGAAGAAAUGAAACAAAAAAGAAGGUUAAACUUGAAAGAGAGAUGAAGGAAGGCCGCUACUCAUUUAUCUCACGGUCCUGGAAACAUCAAUGGGAUGUAUACUAGGGCGGCACGAUGAGAAAGGAAAGAAGGAGCAUGCCAUCUAUUUGAUGAAUGAGUUAUAGCUA
This is a non-coding RNA of Camellia sinensis, 412 nucleotides long. The record is from RefSeq and is a predicted model, not a curated record. NCBI's taxonomy places the organism in Eukaryota, Viridiplantae, Streptophyta, Magnoliopsida, Ericales, Theaceae.